Molecule: ribosomal RNA, 241 nt
Filed under: uncultured bacterium
Lineage: Bacteria
Description: partial 16S ribosomal RNA
Rfam family: Bacterial small subunit ribosomal RNA
Source: RNAcentral
AAGCGGCGGACGGGUGAGUAACGCGUGGGUAACCUGCCCUGUACACACGGAUAACAUACCGAAAGGUAUGCUAAUACGGGAUAACAUAAGAAAUUCGCAUGUUUUUCUUAUCAAAGCUCCGGCGGUACAGGAUGGACCCGCGUCUGAUUAGCUAGUUGGUGAGGUAACGGCUCACCAAGGCGACGAUCAGUAGCCGACCUGAGAGGGUGACCGGCCACAUUGGGACUGAGACACGGCCCAA